UACGUAGGUGGCAAGCGUUAUCCGGAUUUACUGGGUGUAAAGGGAGCGUAGACGGCAAUGCAAGCCAGAUGUGAAAACCCGCAGCUCAACUGGGGAGUGCAUUUGGAACUGUGUAGCUGGAGUGCAGGAGAGGUAAGCGGAAUUCCUGGUGUAGCGGUGAAAUGCGUAGAUAUCAGGAGGAACACCAGUGGCGAAGGCGGCUUACUGGACUGUAACUGACGUUGAGGCUCGAAAGCGUGGGGAGCAAACAGG
This 252-nucleotide ribosomal RNA is filed under the name uncultured bacterium. Its description in RNAcentral is "partial 16S ribosomal RNA". It matches the Rfam family "Bacterial small subunit ribosomal RNA", at positions 524 to 776 of the family's 1533-position model. The record is from RNAcentral.